This 435-nucleotide ribosomal RNA is filed under the name uncultured bacterium. Its description in RNAcentral is "bacterial SSU rRNA". It matches the Rfam family "Bacterial small subunit ribosomal RNA", at positions 339 to 791 of the family's 1533-position model. The record is from RNAcentral.
UUACGGGAGGCAGCAGUGGGGAAUCUUGGACAAUGGAGGCAACUCUGAUCCAGCCAUGCCGCGUGAGUGAUGAAGGCCCUAGGGUUGUAAAACUCUUUCGGCGGGGACGAUAAUGACGGUACCCGCAGAAGAAGCUCCGGCUAACUUCGUGCCAGCAGCCGCGGUAAUACGAAGGGGGCUAGCGUUGUUCGGAAUUACUGGGCGUAAAGCGCGCGCAGGCGGUCCUUCAAGUCAGAGGUGAAAGCCCAGGGCUCAACCCUGGAAUUGCCUUUGAGACUGAGGGACUUGGGUACGGGAGAGGUGAGUGGAAUUCCGAGUGUAGAGGUGAAAUUCGUAGAUAUUCGGAAGAACACCAGUGGCGAAGGCGGCUCACUGGCCCGUUACCGACGCUCAGGCGCGACAGCGUGGGGAGCAAACAGGAUUAGAUACCCCGGU